AGGGUGUAAACGCUGCAGACUUGGUGUUGGGAACCCUUCGGGGGUGCUCAGUGCCGGAGAGAAGUUGUUAAGUCUGCUACUUGGGGAGUACGUCCGCAAGGAUGAAACUUAAAGGAAUUGGCGGGGGAGCACCGCAACGGGAGGAGCGUGCGGUUUAAUUGGAUUCAACGCCGAAAAACUCACCAGCAGCGACUGUUACAUGAAAGUCAGGUUGAUGACCUUACUAGAUUUUCAGAGAGGUGGUGCAUGGCGUCAGUGACU
RNAcentral lists this ribosomal RNA (261 nucleotides) under uncultured archaeon. Its description in RNAcentral is "partial 16S ribosomal RNA". It matches the Rfam family "Archaeal small subunit ribosomal RNA", at positions 748 to 1008 of the family's 1478-position model. The record is from RNAcentral.